UCAUCAGUAUACCUAGGCCUAUAGAAGUCAUU
RNAcentral lists this non-coding RNA (32 nucleotides) under Homo sapiens (human). The record is from RNAcentral. Lineage: Eukaryota; Metazoa; Chordata; Mammalia; Primates; Hominidae.